Molecule: ribosomal RNA, 778 nt
Filed under: Haloferax larsenii
Lineage: Archaea; Methanobacteriati; Methanobacteriota; Halobacteria; Halobacteriales; Haloferacaceae
Description: bacterial SSU rRNA
Rfam family: Archaeal small subunit ribosomal RNA
Source: RNAcentral
GGCGAAAAGCUCAGUAACACGUGGUCAAACUACCCUACGAAGACCCAUAACCUCGGGAAACUGAGGCUAAUAGGUCAUAGGAGAGUCACGCUGGAAUGCCGACUCUCCCAAACGCUCAGGCGUCGUAGGAUGUGGCUGCGGCCGAUUAGGUAGACGGUGGGGUAACGGCCCACCGUGCCGAUAAUCGGUACGGGUUGUGAGAGCAAGAGCCCGGAGACGGAAUCUGAGACAAGAUUCCGGGCCCUACGGGGCGCAGCAGGCGCGAAACCUUUACACUGCACGCAAGUGCGAUAAGGGGACCCCAAGUGCGAGGGCAUAUAGUCCUCGCUUUUUCCGACCGUAAGGUGGUCGGCGAAUAAGGGCUGGGCAAGACCGGUGCCAGCCGCCGCGGUAAUACCGGCAGCCCAAGUGAUGACCGAUAUUAUUGGGCCUAAAGCGUCCGUAGCCGGCCAUGAAGGUUCAUCGGGAAAUCCGCCAGCUUAACUGGCGGGCGUCCGGUGAAAACCACGUGGCUUGGGACCGGAAGGCUCGAGGGGUACGUCCGGGGUAGGAGUGAAAUCCCGUAAUCCUGGACGGACCACCGAUGGCGAAAGCACCUCGAGAAGACGGAUCCGACGGUGAGGGACGAAAGCUAGGGUCUCGAACCGGAUUAGAUACCCGGGUAGUCCUAGCUGUAAACGAUGCUCGCUAGGUGUGGCACAGGCUACGAGCCUGUGCUGUGCCGUAGGGAAGCCGAGAAGCGAGCCGCCUGGGAAGUACGUCCGCAAGGAUGAAACUU